Molecule: long non-coding RNA, 868 nt
Filed under: Gossypium barbadense (sea-island cotton)
Lineage: Eukaryota; Viridiplantae; Streptophyta; Magnoliopsida; Malvales; Malvaceae
Description: long non-coding RNA (GBAR_LNC002456)
Source: RNAcentral
CGCUAACUAUUCGACCACUUUUUCCUUCCCUUUAUCGGAUUUAUUUCCCCUUUGCUCUUGAGCUUAAUUAAACAAAUAAAUUGAUUUCAUCAUUUAGGCAUCAAAAAGAUGAACACAAGGCACUUAGCCCAUAUUUAUACAUUAGACAUUAAAGUCUCAUACAUGCAAAAAUCAUGCAUCAACACAACAUAUUAGCUAAUUUCUUUCCCCUUGGCCGAAUAUGCAUGCCUAUUUUUGGGGUCUAUUUCAACACUUAAUACACACAUAUACACACUAGUAAAGCAUCCUCCCCCUUUUCAUCAAUUUAACACAUGCAUUGCUCAUUAACAUGCAAAGUUACAUUCGGCCUUAGCACACAUCUUGCUAGCCGAUUCUUCUCCAUUUAGCAAUCAAUGCACAUAUGUGCUCACACAAAAAUGCUAAAAAGGAGGUUCAAAAAUCAUCAAGCCAUCAUCACAUGCAUCAUUAACAAGCUUCAUAUUUUGCAUGCAAUGGCAUUAACACGACCUCCACCUAGGCCGAAUCUUAACUCAUCCUCAUGCCUCAUCACCACAACAUCAAACAUCAACCAAGAAUGAUGCAUCCAUGGUCAAGUGCCAUUUCCAUCACAUAGCAAGAUUUAGACCAUGGGCUAGGUAGAACUCAAUCUAACAACUAAAACAUGCAUGCAUCUCAUGGAACAUCAUCAAACAUACCUUAGCCUAGUUACAUGCAUGGCCGAAUCUCUUCACCUUUCUUCUUCUUUCCUCCUUAAAAUUUUGGCCAAGGAUGAACCAAAGGAUGAGAAAAUUUCUCUUUGUUUUUCUUUCUAGUUUCGGCAAGCAUGAAGAUGAGAAAAGGAUGAACAAAAAUCCUCUCCUUUCUUUUC